Molecule: long non-coding RNA, 700 nt
Organism: Grus americana (Whooping crane)
Lineage: Eukaryota; Metazoa; Chordata; Aves; Gruiformes; Gruidae
Exons: 3
Source: RefSeq, a predicted model, not a curated record
GCAAGAUGCAACACAGAAGGUCUGGCUUCGUGUUCUGGCUUAGUGUCACCCACCAGCAUUUUUCCUUUUUGGAGAGACUACGCACUGAGUCUGCGUGUUAGGAAGUGUUUCUUGCACGGACCUGUGAGAGACUCAGACCAGCCGAUUCGCAGAGAGAAUUUGCAGCAGGUUUCAGCGCUGUGUGGAGCCAAAGUGUGACUGUUUUGCUCCUGUUAACAGCCAGAUGCUGACCAGAAGAGAUCCACUGACUGCACUGAAAUGUCUACGGUGGGAGCAGAGAGUUCUUCGUCUGGCCCUUAAAAAUAAGGGUGAACUUGUGUUAUUCACAGAGAGACACAGCUGCAGACCAGGACACUGGUAGUAAUAUAUUAGGGUUGUGUUCAGAUUCUUCUGUGGAUAUUGAGUAAUAUUUUAGCCAGCAAGACCCUUUGAAACCAACAGGAAUCAUUUUGAAUAAGCAAGAGUCGUGAUGGAACCCUGAUCCUUGGAGACACUAAAAAAAUGGACUGGAAUCAUCCACUUGGGCAACCUGAUCCAAGCUGGCCCUUCUCUGGUUGGGUCAGAUAACGUCCAAAGGUCUCUUGUCAAAUUAUUCUGUGAUUCUAGGGUGAAUAAAAGGCAGUAAGAUUGGGUCCUGCAGUACUUAUGGACAGACGUUUUAAAUACUCAGAGACUCUAUGUAGAUUACACAGCCUCUGUG